GAUGAAGAACGCAGCGAAAUGCGAUAAGUAAUGUGAAUUGCAGAAUUCAGUGAAUCAUCGAAUCUUUGAACGCUCAUUGCGCCCGCCAGUAUUCUGGCGGGCAUGCCUGUUCGAGCGUCAUUACAACCCUCAGGCCCCCGGGCCUGGCGUUGGGGAUCGGCGGAAGCCCCCUGCGGGCACAACGCCGUCCCCCAAAUACAGUGGCGGUCCCGCCGCAGCUUCCAUUGCGUAGUAGCUAACACCUCGCAACUGGAGAGCGGCGCGGCCACGCCGUAAAACACCCAACUUCUGAAUGUUGACCUCGAAUCAGGUAGGAAUACCCGCUGAACUUAAGCAUAUCAAUAAGCGGAGGA
This 353-nucleotide unclassified non-coding RNA is filed under the name soil metagenome. RNAcentral's name for it is "partial contains 5.8S ribosomal RNA, internal transcribed spacer 2, and large subunit ribosomal RNA". The stretch from base 1 to 120 matches the Rfam family "5.8S ribosomal RNA", at positions 35 to 154 of the family's 154-position model. The record is from RNAcentral.